Molecule: long non-coding RNA, 1749 nt
Organism: Drosophila albomicans
Lineage: Eukaryota; Metazoa; Arthropoda; Insecta; Diptera; Drosophilidae
Exons: 4
Source: RefSeq, a predicted model, not a curated record
UUUCACACACAUUUCGGAUUGUAUUUAAAUCGUGCAAAUGUUAUGACAAAUUUUAAGCAAAUUGCUGCCAAAUUAUGCCACAAAUAUCUCUCUUUCAACAUUUUCAUCCGCACACACCAAAUUUAAACUGUGAAAAUCCAAGGCAGCUUCAAAACAAAAACAACACAAUAAAAAACAUAAAAGAUACGAAAAUAAAACCAGAAACAACAACAAGCAGAGAAAUACCAAAACUAAUCUACGCUAAUAAAUUUGAAACAAAACACAAAGAAUUUUCCGCGCGAAAAACUUCAGACUAAAAUAAGUUGAUUUUCUAUAGCAUAUAAUAAAAGAAAUGAAAAAGCAUUUUGUGAGUUGGAAAAAUCAAGCAAGAACUGAUUCUGAUUAUGAAAUGAUCCCAACCAAAAAAAUAAAAUUAAAUACAUGCCGCAUUUUGAUGAGGACAGCUUCCUGGUGUCCCACGUAGAAAAUUCCAGUUUACGAUCAAAUGUAUUUUUACUCUUGAUGUUUUGAGCUUGGAUAACAUCGCAACAGGAAGUAAAUGGCCAAAAAGUCCUCGUUAAAUCCAUCUCUGGUUCAGCUGCAUCGCUAGGGAAGGAGAUUCAAUUUGACACACCAACAGCGAGGGAGAGAGAGACAUGCAAAUUGAAUGAGACAGCUUGUGAAUAAAUAUGGAUAUGCGACGGAUGGCGUUAAUUGCCAACUCACGCAAAACAAGUUGCAAGAUUUCAAAGCAAAAUCAUUUAACAAAUUGAAUUUGCAUUUGAAUUGCAUGCUGUAAAACACUCGCAUGUAUUUUGCUGCAUUGGGGUGACUCAAGAGACAGGAAAAGCAGCAUUGAAAUGAAAACAAAAUAAUAAACAAUUUAUUUACAUUUUGCAUUCUUAAUGCGAGGCUGAUUAAUGUGUUAAGUCUCAAAUCAAUUAUUAUUGGAUAUUGAUUAAUCCGCUCCAUGUGCAAGGUGCCACCCUAUGCCCGGAUGGGGAGUGUCAGAGAGGAGAGUGGGAGGGGGGCUUGUAGUCACAUUGGCACGCAGUCGAAAAUGGGCGAGUGCCGUGGCAAUUGAAAUGCUUUUCAGUCAGCUGCGAGUAAAAGCAAAUCGAACUGCACUCAAAUGUUUUUAUAAUGAGUUAAUAAGCGCACACCUGUUGCAGUCGACGUCGACGUUGACGCUGACUGCGAUGCUGACAGCGACUGUGACGGCGACUGCGAGUGCAAACUGGCUUGAGGAGAAUGGCGAGUAAUUAAGAGAUUUACUUGGCCCCGAGAAUGAACCGAGUGUGGAGUCCAAGUGCAGUCAACGCGUCGCCUCACACAUAAAUCGAAGUCUUUGUUUUGCUUUCUGUUUUCUGUUGUGCUGCAAUUUUAAUUGCUAAUCGCAAACGAUUUGUAAUUCUGCGCCAAGUCAAUUUACAAAAGGAGCUGAACAGCAGCAGCAGUUGGUCAAAGUCAUUGCGGCGCCAGCUUUAGCUUUAGCUUUAUAUUUAAAUUCAUUUCUCGUUGGCAACUGGAGAAGCGCCAAGCGCGCAAACUGAUGAAUUGUUAUCUCCCAUCUGUAUCUGCAUCUCAAUCUCAACCCUAUGAAUAAUGCAGGGGGCGAUGCUGACAAUCGUAACAGUUUGAUUGAUUAACUUCUGCAUAACGAAUGUAAUAAAAAUCUAAAUUAGCUUAAACUACAAGAAUUCUUAGAAAAUGUUGUGGCUUUCAACGUCUGUUGCGAACCAACCAACAAAAAAAAAAAAAAAAAAUAAA